Molecule: ribosomal RNA, 253 nt
Filed under: uncultured bacterium
Lineage: Bacteria
Description: partial 16S ribosomal RNA
Rfam family: Bacterial small subunit ribosomal RNA
Source: RNAcentral
UACGAAGGGGGCUAGCGUUGCUCGGAAUCACUGGGCGUAAAGGGCGCGUAGGCGGCCGAUCAAGUCAGAGGUGAAAGCCCAGGGCUCAACCCUGGAAUUGCCUUUGAUACUGUUCGGCUCGAGACCGGAAGAGGUUAGUGGAACUGCGAGUGUAGAGGUGAAAUUCGUAGAUAUUCGCAAGAACACCAGUGGCGAAGGCGGCUAACUGGUCCGGUUCUGACGCUGAGGCGCGAAAGCGUGGGGAGCAAACAGG